UGGUGGCGUGCAUCUGACGGGCGAAAUAUUGGACACAUGAGGCAGCAAUGGUAAAGUAAUGCUUGAGUGAAUGUUUCGCCAAGAAAACAUUGAUAAAGUUCACCAGCACAAGAAACUUUAAUUUGAGAAUACCUAACGAUAUUUGAAACUCCUUUUCAAAUUACAAAAUGAAUGAAAAUGUCACAAGUUGUGAACAAGACAUUGUGGUGCCUUGGCCUCUGUUCUCUCAUCUCCAUGCCAGAUGGCCAUUAUGAAGGAUCAUAAAUGUGUGAUCCUGAGCACUGAGAAGAGAUUUUUGCUGAUGUAGAGCUUUGUAACGGUGGACCCCACAGUCCAUGACAGAAACAAGUAGGAUAGAAAAUUCCAUCUUCUUCGAAAAGAAAAGGGGAGGUUUGCAUUUUAAGGAGCAGUACAUAUUGGCAGCCAUGUAGCUUUGUAGUUGCUUCGAAGAAUUUUUUCCCUUGUCUGGUGAUUGGUUGGACUUUGAAUACCUCCUAUCCUUAUAGCCAUGGAACACUUGACAUUGACUCCAUUUACACUUACAGAAUCAAAAACGAACACAUUUGCAACAAGUAUUUUUUGUGACCAAGAAACCAAAAUUUUUUUAUUUUUUUAAGCAUCUAUAGUUGGAAGACAUCUAGCGGAGGAAUUGCUUGUUACUGAGUACUCUACUGAACUGUCAAUUUGUUCGUUGUCAGGGGGCUACAUCGAGUUUGGUUGCCAUAAUAAUGGUUGCCUCGCGAAUUGGAAAUGUUUUGCCGAAUCCCAGGAUAUCGCCAAGUGUGCCAUAUUGUCACAAUUGUUUUUCCCCUUAAGAUGGUUACCAAUGUGAAGUUGAUUUCUAAAGGUUUUGUUUGAUAUGCUAUAUUUAAUGAACUGAUGUUGGCACCAGCCUGAUGGAAAAAAGUCAUUUCCAACGUGGGAAACUUGGAUUUAUUUUGUGAUUAAGAGUCGGAAUGUUUUUCUGAAGUUGCUGUUUGAAAUAACCUUUCAAAGCCUAAAUUCAUCUUUGUAGAAAGGGACUUGUGAAAAGUAACACUGGCUCUGUACAUGUUCUUGGUUUGGGGCAAGAUGUUGAAUAACCUGAGAUUAUUGGAUGGAAGACAUGGAAUUUCUACACUUUAUUCAUAUUCCCCAAACGGUAUUUAAAAUUCAAAAAUUGAAGUGCAUAUCUGGGCUCCCUUCCUUUCCGUAGCCCCGUUUCCC
Long non-coding RNA from Daphnia carinata, 1206 nucleotides. RefSeq lists it as uncharacterized. The record is from RefSeq and is a predicted model, not a curated record. The transcript has 8 exons. NCBI's taxonomy places the organism in Eukaryota, Metazoa, Arthropoda, Branchiopoda, Diplostraca, Daphniidae.